CCGCCCCGCGCAGAGCCCCGCUCUGCCUCCUCCCCUCGGGGCCUGCCUCCUCCCCUCGGGGCGAAGGGAAACACAAGGCCACGGGCGGGGAGGUGAGGGACAAGUAAGACCCGGAGACGUGCGCGGUGGUGGCCAUGAGCAUUAACUGUGCCCCGCGCUUACUGGGCCCUCGUGCUGUGUCCUUCUUCCAAGCCACCAUCAUCUCUCAUCUCCUCCCUGGACUGCACCCCAACCACCUCCUGAAGCCCUGCCUUCUUCCGCUCCGCUCCUCUCUGAUCCGAUCUGCUGUGAUUACAGUGCAAGAUCCCGGGCGCUCCAUCACUGCCCUCUCAGAACACAAACUCCUGAAGGCAAGGAGCAGUGUCUGUUGAUUUCUCCACUUCACAAAAAGUGUUUGUUAAAAUAUUUAAAACCUAAAUGAAUAAGUGAAAAUGUAA
Long non-coding RNA from Leopardus geoffroyi (Geoffroy's cat), 437 nucleotides. RefSeq lists it as uncharacterized. NCBI's taxonomy places the organism in Eukaryota, Metazoa, Chordata, Mammalia, Carnivora, Felidae. The record is from RefSeq and is a predicted model, not a curated record. The transcript has 2 exons.